UUAUUAUUAAAAACAAUAAUCAUUAUUAUUUUUUCCAUUGUAAUAACAUGUAAAAAAACGUAUUUCCCAUAUGCUCAGUGGAGAAAAUUUGGAAAUAAGGAAAGUAGCAAGAAGAAGUGGGGGGAAAGAGGCACCCAUAAUUCUAUUACCCAGAGUCAAAAACAUCUUUUAACACUUUUUCUGUGCAUUAAAAACAAAAAAAGAAAAUUAUACCUCCAUCAUUUCUGCUGUGACCUGCAUUGUGACAGCACAAUGUUGGCCAGUUAUGGUGCAGAAAACAGUGCUACCCCUGGGAGCCUGGAGUGUGGUGGGAGAUAGCUCCAAUAGUGGCAGGUGCUGUGCAGGAAGAGGCUCGUGUGAAAGUACUGGAGGGCUGCCAUGGGGCACGGUGAUGGGGACAUGGGGCCAUGCCGUCUGCACAAGGCCAAGUGGAAGAGCAGAUUUUUCACGGUAAAUGUAGGCAGACCCUUUUUUUUUUCCUGGUUGUCUAACCUAUUAUUGUAGAAGUGCUCAUAUACAUUCUUUUCCAUCUGCGCUUUGGCAGGAUGACAUCAUUGAUGAUGUUGACAGCUUUCUUGCUGCAGCAGAGACCCUGAAGGAAAGAGGUGCAUAUAAGAUCUUUGUGAUGGCAACUCAUGGCUUGUUGUCUUCUGACGCCCCCCGGCUGAUUGAAGAGUCUGCCAUUGAUGAGGUGGUGGUCACCAAUACAAUUCCACAUGAAGUCCAGAAGCUCCAGUGCCCCAAGAUUAAAACUGUGGAUAUCAGCAUGAUCCUUUCAGAGGCGAUCCGUCGGAUCCACAAUGGGGAGUCCAUGUCCUACCUUUUCAGAAACAUAGGCUUAGAUGACUGAGUUUUCCUUUAGGAAAACUCCUGAGGGCCAAACUGGAAACAUAAGAGUGACUGCUCGGUGGGAUAGAUUUCACAGGAACCGUCAUGCUUGUUCCUCCCUCUCCCCUGUAACCUCACUUCUUAUUGAUUCCUAAGAAGAUAGACCAACUUUUUAUGUCGGUUUGGGUGUUUGUGAGUUUGGGGAGCAAUUUUUAUAAAAGAAAAACUUUAUUCUCCUCUUUUGAAAAGGUAAGACCUUGUUUUAGUUUUAACUGUUUAAAAAAUAACACUUGGAAUAAGAUUUGUAAGCUCACAAGGCCUUUUUCCAAAGUUGCUUGAGCCAAGUGCUUAAAAAGUUAAUAAAAUAAAAUGAUCUGUAUGAUACCUGCAAUUGAAAAGCCGAAAAGAUUAUACUGUCAAGUCCAGUAAAUGACAUUUUUAGAGAUGCUUUUGUAGACAAGCAUAUGGAAUAUGUGAUUGUAUUUAUUUUCUGCAACUAAAAAAGGAAUAAAAACUUGUGUUUGUGUGUUUUUCUAAAACUUUGUGUUUUGGCAAUCGUUUUAUAACUAAAAUAAAAUGAAAGCUAAAUCUA
Molecule: small RNA, 1420 nt
Filed under: Pan troglodytes (chimpanzee)
Lineage: Eukaryota; Metazoa; Chordata; Mammalia; Primates; Hominidae
Description: retained intron
Source: RNAcentral